ACCCAACCCGAAAUUAGCGGGUUUGGGUUGAGAUUUUCAACCCGAUUAGUUAAAUGGGUCGACCUGAACCCGACCUGAAAGUUAAAUGGGUCAGGUUCAGGUCGAAUUUUCUGACCUGAAAAUGACCCACUUGACCUGAUUUGUAAAUGGGUCAAAAUCAGGUCGGGUCAACCCGUAUAACCUAAUCCGAAUAAUUGAACUAAAAAAAAUUUGUCCAGCCCAAAGAUUUUACAUUUAAUUUGUAACUUGGGCUAAUGAAUUAUAUGUCGAAUUAUCCAGCCCAAAAAAGUGAAAAAAUGAGCAUAUAAAUAACAAAACCCUACUUCCCUUUACUUCCUUUUGUGUUUUGUCCGCCCACCCUAUCCCUCCUUACUCCAUCAGCGCCUCUAAGGCUCUCACAAUCCCACUCUCUCUAAUUCUCUUCCAUCUUCUUCAUUUUCUUCUCACCUCAAUUUAUCUUUUUACUUUUUAUUCCUAAUUUCUCAUCUUUCAUUUAAACGUGUACUAAGCCUAAGAUUAUUUACUCCGGUAUUUUUUAUAAAUUUGCUUCAUUUUUCCUCGUUUUUCUUUUUGGAUCUGUAUUCGUUUUUUUCUCUCGAUUUGUUUAGUAAUUAUUCGAUUCGUGCUAUAGCUAUAGCUACUAAUUAUUUGAUUUGCUUUAAUUUGUAAUUAUUCGAUUUGUAUUUGAAGUUCUGUAAUUGUUUAAUUAUUCGAUUUGUAUUUGAAGUUCUUUGUAAUCUCGGUUGUAACUUGUGUUUUAGCUUUGAACUAUGAGUCUAUGAUGUUUAAAUA
Long non-coding RNA from Beta vulgaris subsp. vulgaris (sugar beet), 792 nucleotides. RefSeq lists it as uncharacterized. NCBI's taxonomy places the organism in Eukaryota, Viridiplantae, Streptophyta, Magnoliopsida, Caryophyllales, Amaranthaceae. The transcript is spliced from 2 exons. The record is from RefSeq and is a predicted model, not a curated record.